RNAcentral lists this ribosomal RNA (481 nucleotides) under uncultured bacterium. Its description in RNAcentral is "partial 16S ribosomal RNA". It matches the Rfam family "Bacterial small subunit ribosomal RNA", at positions 28 to 523 of the family's 1533-position model. The record is from RNAcentral.
GACGAACGCUGGCGGCGUGCUUAACACAUGCAAGUCGAACGCUGAAGCCCUUUCGGGGGUGGAUGAGUGGCGAACGGGUGAGUAACGCGUGGGUAAUCUGCCCUGCACUCUGGGAUAAGCCUUGGAAACGGGGUCUAAUACCGGAUAGGACACAUCGCCGCAUGGGGUGUGUGUGGAAAGUUCCGGCGGUGCAGGUUGAGCCCGCGGCCUAUCAGCUUGUUGGUGGGGUGAUGGCCUACCAAGGCGACGACGGGUAGCCGGCCUGAGAGGGUGACCGGCCACACUGGGACUGAGACACGGCCCAGACUCCUACGGGAGGCAGCAGUGGGGAAUCUUGCGCAAUGGGCGAAAGCCUGACGCAGCAACGCCGCGUGGGGGAUGACGGCCUUCGGGUUGUAAACCUCUUUCGACCGGGACGAAGGGUGACUGACGGUACCGGCAGAAUAAGCACCGGCUAACUCUGUGCCAGCAGCCGCGGUAA